Molecule: ribosomal RNA, 427 nt
Filed under: uncultured bacterium
Lineage: Bacteria
Description: partial 16S ribosomal RNA
Rfam family: Bacterial small subunit ribosomal RNA
Source: RNAcentral
UGGGGAAUAUUGCACAAUGGGCGCAAGCCUGAUGCAGCCAUGCCGCGUGUAUGAAGAAGGCCUUCGGGUUGUAAAGUACUUUCAGCGAGGAGGAAGGCGUUGUGGUUAAUAACCGCAGCGAUUGACGUUACUCGCAGAAGAAGCACCGGCUAACUCCGUGCCAGCAGCCGCGGUAAUACGGAGGGUGCAAGCGUUAAUUGGAAUUACUGGGCGUAAAGCGCACGCAGGCGGUCUGUCAAGUCGGAUGUGAAAUCCCCGGGCUCAACCUGGGAACUGCAUCCGAAACUGGCAGGCUAGAGUCUUGUAGAGGGGGGUAGAAUUCCAGGUGUAGCGGUGAAAUGCGUAGAGAUCUGGAGGAAUACCGGUGGCGAAGGCGGCCCCCUGGACAAAGACUGACGCUCAGGUGCGAAAGCGUGGGGAGCAAACA